GCCGCGUGCCGGCCGGGGGA
RNAcentral lists this small nuclear RNA (20 nucleotides) under Arabidopsis thaliana (thale cress). RNAcentral's name for it is "snRNA_06181". Lineage: Eukaryota; Viridiplantae; Streptophyta; Magnoliopsida; Brassicales; Brassicaceae. The record is from RNAcentral.